Molecule: ribosomal RNA, 118 nt
Organism: Chelonoidis abingdonii (Abingdon island giant tortoise)
Lineage: Eukaryota; Metazoa; Chordata; Testudines; Testudinidae
Source: Ensembl
GCCUGUAGCCAUCCCACCUUGGGCUGUAAGCUUAUUAGAUCUCACAAGCUAAGCAGGGCAGGGCUGAGACAAUACUUAGUUGUAGAUCUUCAAGGAAUACAUGUAGGUGCUGCAGAAA